CCCUUAGACGUUCUGGGCCGCACGCGCGCUACACUGACGAAGGCAACGAGCUUUCCUUUACCGAAAGGUACGGGUAAUCUUUUGAAACUUCGUCGUGCUGGGGAUAGAUCCUUGCAAUUUUUGGUCUUAAACGAGGAAUGUCUAGUAAGCGCAAGUCAUCAACUUGCGUUGAUUACGUCCCUGCCCUUUGUACGCACCGCCCGUCGCUACUACCGAUUGAAUGGUUUAGUGAGGCCUUCGGAUCCGCGACUCGUUUGUGGAGAAGUUGGACAAACUCAGUCAUUUAGAGGAAGUAAAAGUCGUAACA
RNAcentral lists this ribosomal RNA (307 nucleotides) under uncultured eukaryote. Its description in RNAcentral is "partial 18S ribosomal RNA". It matches the Rfam family "Eukaryotic small subunit ribosomal RNA", at positions 1470 to 1796 of the family's 1831-position model. The record is from RNAcentral.